This is a long non-coding RNA of Pristis pectinata (smalltooth sawfish), 2869 nucleotides long. RefSeq lists it as uncharacterized. NCBI's taxonomy places the organism in Eukaryota, Metazoa, Chordata, Chondrichthyes, Rhinopristiformes, Pristidae. The record is from RefSeq and is a predicted model, not a curated record. The transcript is spliced from 3 exons.
UUGAUUUCUGGAGCUAACCGUGUAAAUUGGACGCCGGGGCCGAAGCCCAGGGCUAGUCAAUGCUAGGAUCAGACCAAGCCAGGUUUUCUCUACAACCCAUGCCACUGCCGUCAGAGGGUCCCAGUCCUGGCAGAGGAAGGUGCAGACUGCUGGAAGAAAGGGAAAGUGUCCAAUUUACAUGGUUAGCUCCAGAAAUCAAACUCAUCACUGCCAGAAGUGGCAGGAUGGAGCACCGCUCUGAUUCCUGACAUAUUUCCACAAGUAUUAUAAAUAAGUUAUGCUGAAAAAAACUACUAAACAUAACAGAAGAUAUGUACAGCGUACUGCAAGAUUAUUGAAUGUCGAGAAUAGAUUAUUGCAAUUAGCGUAACCAGGCAACUCCUCCAAGUAUCGUUGAACAAGGAGACUUCAAAACGCAGUAGGAGAAAGAUUGGUAAAGCGGUGGUAAAGAAAGGAAAAGUUUUAAGGACGGAAGUCUGGAGCACGGGGAACAGGUCCUGGAGGGAACAUCCAACAUAGAAGCGAUUGUAAACAGAGAUGUGCAAGAUGCUGGAAAAGGAGAGCUAGCCUAAUCCUUAUGAUAUUAUGAUCACUAUCUUCUAAAUCUCUGGAGGCGGUGGAGGCAUGUACUCUCACAACAUUAAGAAGCACCUUGACCACUGCUAUACAACCAUCAAAGAUGCCUUCCGAGCCACCCCUCGUCCUCAUUUUGGGAAAUCAGACCACCAGGCUGUGCUCCUUUCCCCUGCAUACAAACAGAAACUGAAAUGGGAGGAUCCGGUAUGGAGAGUCAUGCAGUGCUGGUCUGAGGAAGCAGAUGAGCUCCUACGUGACUGUUUUGAGACAAGUGGACUGGUCCAUGUUCAAAGACUCAGCUGCCAGCCUUGAUGAGUAUGUCACCACCAUCACAGACUUUAUCAGCAAGUGCGUGGAGGACUGUGUACCAGAGAAGACAAUACAGAUGUUUCCAAACAGGAAACCAUGGAUGAACCGGGAGAUCCACUCCCUACUGAAGGAGAGGACUGCUGCACACAAAUCUGGUGAUCCUGAUCUGUACAAGAAAUCGAGGUAUGACCUUUGGAAAGCUAUCAGGGAUGCCAAGAGGCAAUACCAACCCUGACCAGCUGCCAGUUAUGGCAGGGCUUACAUGACAUAACAGGCUACAAGAUGAAGUCGGGCUGCAUAGUUAACAACAGUGCAUUCCUUCCUGAUGAACUUAACGCAUUCUAUGCGCGUUUUGAACAGAAGGGAAGUGGAUUGUCACCAUCCACCCUGACAGCCUCCAAUGCAGCUGAACCUGUGAUCACAGUGGAGGACGUAAGAUCAGUCUUCCGGAGAGUGAACACAAGGAAAGCACCUGGUCCAGAUGGUGUCCCUGGCCGUGUGCUCAGAUCUUGUGCUGAUCAGCUGGCAGAAGUAUUUGCGGACAUAUUUAACCUCUCCCUGCUUCAAGCUCAGGUUCCCACCUAUUUUAAGAAGACCACUAUCAUCCCGGUACUGAAGAAAAGCAAGGUAACAUGUCUCAAUGACUACCGACCAGUGGCUCUGACAUCCACCAUCAUGAAGUGCUUUGAGAGGUUGGUCAUGGCACGCAUCAACUCCAGCCUACCAGACAACCUGGACCCACUUCAAUUCGCCUACUGCUGUAACAGGUCUAUAGCAGAUGCCAUCUCCCUGGCCCUACACUCAGCUCUGGAGCAGAGCAUCUGGACAGUAAAGACACCUAUGUUAGACUUUUGUUCAUUGACUACAGCUCUGCCUUCAAUACAAUAAUCCCAAGCAAGCUUGUCACCAAACUCCGAGACCUAGGACUCAACACCUCCCUCUGUAACUGGAUCCUUGACUUUCUAACAAACAGACUGCAAUCAGUGAGGAUAGGCAGCAAUACCUCCGGCACGAUUAUUCUCAACACUGGUGCCCCACAAGGCUGCGUCCUCAGCCCUCUACUCUACUCCUUAUACACUCAUGACUGUGUGGCCAGAUUCUGCUCUAACUCCAUCUACAAGUUUGCAGAUGAUACCACCGUUGUAGGCCGUAUCUCAAACAGCGAUGAGUUGGAGUAAAGGAAAGAGAUAGAGAGCUUAGUGGAAUGGUGUCAUGACAACAACCUUUCCCUCAAUGUCAACAAAACAGCUGGUCAUUGACUUCAGGAAAGGGGGCGGUGUACAUGCACCUGUCUACAUCAACAGUGCUGAGGUCGAGAGGGUUGAGAGCUUCAAGUUCCUGGGAGUGAACAUCACCAACAGCCUGUCCUGGUCAAAUCACGUAGAUGCCAUGGCCAAGAAAGCUCACCAGCAUCUCUACUUCCUCAGGAGGCUAAAGAAAUUUGGUUUGUCCCCUUUGACUCUCACCAACUUUUACCAAUGCACCAUAGAAAGCAUCCUAUCUGGAUGUAUCAUGACUUGGUAUGGCAACUGCUCUGCCCAGGACCGCAAGAAACUGCAGAGAGGUGUGGACACAGCCCAGCGCAUCAUGGACACCAGCCUCCCCUCCUUGGACUCUGUCUUUACCUCUCACUGUCUUGGUGAAGCAGCCAGCAUAAUUAAAGACCACACCCAACCAUAACAUUCUCUCUUCUCUCCUCUUCCAUCGGGUAGAAGAUACAGGAGCCUGAGGGCACGUACCAUCAGACUUAAGGUCAGCUUCUACCCCACUGUGAUAAGACUAUUGAAUGGUUCCCUUAUACAAUGAGAUAGACUAUGACUUCACGAUCUACCUUGUUGUGACCUUGCACCUUAUUGCACUGCACUUUCUCUGUAGCUGUGACACUUUACUCUGUACUGUUAUUGUUUUUACCUGUACUAUAUCAAUGCACUCUGUACUAACUCAAUGUAACUGGACUGUGUAAUGAAUUGACCUGUACGAUCAG